UUCUCAAAGAGGCAAAGGAAAGACAUGCAAUAAAAGACGUUAAAGAUGCCAUUAUUAAAGAUUUUAGAGCCGCAGAAACUGAAAAGGAGGAAAGAAAAAAGAAGGUAGACAAACUUGAGGAAGCCAUCGAGAUAAAACUAAAGAAGAAAACCUAAAAGAGGGGACCAAACCCCUUGAGAAGGAACUACCAAAGCCCAGAGAAGAAGAGUCUAAAAGGGAGGAAAGAACCCAAGAAACGGUCCAAAGAGGAGGCAGAAGUCAAGAAACCAUCUAAAGACAAGAAAGAAGUCAAGAAAUCUCUCAAAGAAGUCAAGAAACCCCUCAAAGAAGAGAAAGAAGUCAAGAAAUCAUCUAAAGACAAGAAAGAAGUUAAGAAACCUCUCAAAGAAGUCAAGAAAUCCCUCAAGGAAGAGAAAGAAGUCAAGAAACCUCUCAAAGAAGAGAAAGAAGUCAAGAAACCUAUUAAAGAAGAGAAAGAAGUCAAGAAAUCAUCCAAAGACAAGAAAGAAGUCAAGAAACCUCUCAAAGAAGAGAAAGAAGUCAAGAAACAUCUCAAAGAAGACAAAGAAGUCAAGAAAUCUCUCAAAGAAGAGAAAGAAGUCAAGAAACAUCUCAAAGAAGACAAAGAAGUCAAGAAAUCUCUCAAAGAAGACAAAGAAGUCAAGAAACCUAUUAAAGAAGAGAAAGAAGUCAAGAAAUCAUCUAAAGACAAGAAAGAAGUCAAGAAACCUCUCAAAGAAGAGAAAGAAGUCAAGAAAUCAUCUGAAGAAGACACAGAAGUCAAGAAACUUCUUAAAGAAAAGAUGGAAGUCAAGAAACUUCUCAAAGAAGACAAAGAAGUCAAGAUAUCAUCUAAAGAUGAGAAAGAAGUCAAGAAACCACUUAAAGAAAAGAUAGAAAUCAAGAAACCACUUAAAGAAAAGAUAGAAAUCAAGAAACCCCUCAAGGAAGACAAAGAAGUCAAGAAAUCUCUCAAAGAAGAGAAAGGAGUCAAGAAAUCAUCUAAAGACGAGAAAGAGGUCAAGAAACUUCUCAAAGAAGACAAGGAAGUCAAGAAACCAUCUAAAGACGAGAAAGAGGUAAAGAAACAUCUCAAAGAAGACACAGAAGUCAAGAAAUCUCUCAAAGAAGUCAAGAAACCCCACAAAGAAGAGAAAGAAGUCAAGAAACCUCUCAAAGAAGAGAAAGAAGUCAAGAAACCUCUCAAAGAAGAGAAAGAAGUCAAGAAAUCAUCUGAAGAAGACAAAGAAGUCAAGAAACCUCUUAAAGAAAAGAUAGAAGUCAAGAAACUUCUCAAAGAAGACAAAGAAGUCAAGAAACCCCUCAAAGAUGAGAAAGAAGUCAAGAAACCACUUAAAGAAAAGAUAGAAAUCAAGAAACCCCUCAAAGAAGACAAAAAAGUCAAGAAACCUCUCAAAGAAGAGAAAGAAGUCAAGAAACUUCUGAAAGAAGACAAAGAAGUCAAGAAAUCAUCUAAAGACGAGAAAGAAGUCAAGAAACUCCUCAAAGAAGAGAAAGACGUCAAGAAACCUCUCAAAAGACAAGAUGUCAAGAAACUUCUCAAAGAAGACAAAGAAGUCAAGAAAUCAUCUAAAGACGAGAAAGAGGUCAAGAAACCACUUAAAGAAAAGAUAGAAGUCAAGAAACUCCUCAAAGAAGUCAAGAAAUCAUCUAAAGAUGAGAAAGAGGUCAAGAAUCUUCUCAAAGAAGACACGGAAGUCAAGAAACCAUCUAAAGACGAGAAAGAGGUCAAGAAACCUCUCAAAGAAGAGAAAGAAGUCAAGAAAUCAUCUAAAGAUGAGAAAGAGGUCAAGAAUCUUCUCAAAGAAGAGAAAGAAGUCAAGAAAUCAUCCAAAGACAAGAAAGAGGUGAAGAAACAUCUCAAAGAAGACAAAGAAGUCAAGAAACCUCUCAAAGUAGAGAAAGAGGUCAGGAAACCUGUCAAAGAAGACAAAGAAGUCAAGAAACCUCUCAAAGAAGAGAAAGAAGUCAAAAAAACUCUCAAUGAAGAGAAAGAAAUCAAGAAACUUUUCAAAGACGAGAAAGAAGGCAAGAAACCCCUCAAAGAAGAGAAAGAAGUCAAGAAACCUCUCAAAGAAGAGAAAGAGGUCAAGAAACAUCUUAAAGAAGAUAAAGAAGUUAAGAAACUUUUUAAAGAAAAGAUAGAAGUCAAGAAACCCCUCAAAGAAGAGAAAGAAGUCAAGAAACCUCUUAAAGAGAUGAAACCGGCCAAAAAAGAUACAGGAGAGAGAGACCCUUCAAAAGACGAGAAAGACGAGAAGAAACCACUUGGGGAAGAAAGAGAAGACAAUAAACAUCAUAAAGAAGAGAAAGUAAUGAAAACAACUCUUAAAGAAGAGAAGAAACAAGAAAGGAAGUCUCUGGAAGAGAAAAAAGCACCCACAGAAGGGGUAGACUUGAAACCAUCUAAGGAAGAGAAACAAAUGAAAAAGCCUCAAGAGGAGAAAGUAGAAAAAGAGAUGAAGCCUAAAGAACUGAAGGAAGUAAGUAACUAUUCUAAGGAAAGGAAAGAAGAGAGGAAACCCUCUAGGGAGGAAAAGGAAAAAAGGGAGCCACCAAAGGCAGAGAAAGAAAUUAGGAAACCCUUAGAAGAAAAGAAAGAAGUAAAGCCUCCAACAAAAGAAAUUGAAGACAAGAAGCCUUCUGAGGAAGAGAAGGAAGUGAAAACGCCUCCUGUGAAGGAAAAAGAAGUUACGAAGCCUUCUAAAGAAGGGACAGAAAUGAAGAAGUCUGCUGUCGAGAUUUUUUUCUUUACGAAGACUAUAAAGGAAGGAAAAGAGCUGAAGAAACCGUCUGUGGAGGAAACAACUAACAAAAAGGAGAAAGAACUGUCUAAAGAAGAGAAAGAAUCAAUAAAGCCCAAAGAAGUAAAAGAGGUCAAAAAGCAUCUCAAAGAAGAGAAGGAUGAACUACUGCCUCCAAAAGAAGAAAGAGAACAAAGGAAGCCUUCAAAAGGAGAGAGAGAACCAGAAAAAACAUCUAAAGAGGUCAAAGAAGUUAAAAAUCUUAAGUUAAAAAAAAAGGAAAAGCCAGCAAGUCCUUCCAAAGAAAGAUCAGUACCAAAGAAGCCCUCUGAAGAAAAACAAGAACCAGAGAAACCUUUUAAAGACGAAAAAGAACCAACAACACUGUCUAGAAAGGAAGAAAAAGAAUCAAAGAAGCUCUUUAGAGAACAAGACCAAGAGAAACCUUCCAAAGAAAAGAAAGAGAUCAAGAUUAUUCUCAAAGAAGAAAAGGAACCAAAGAAGAUCUCUAAGGAAGACACGGAACAAACAAAGCCCUCUAAAGAGAAAGAAAUAAAGAGGGCUCAUAAAGACAAAGAACCUGUCAAGAAGAGAGAUACUAAGACAGACUCUGGACCCAAAAAGGCUGUAAGGAGGAUUAAAGUAGUCAAGAUGGAGGUUGCUUCUGUCCUGAAGAAGGAACAUCUUAAUGUUACAAAAGCAGCUGAUGAACCUAAGAAGGCCGUAAAGAGGUUGACAGCUGCGAAAAAGAUAGUUCCUGUCCUGAAAAAGGAAAACUUGAACAUUACAAAAACAGAGCUUCCUGAGGUUCCUAAGGUGAAAGCCAAACCAGAACCUGCAAAGAAAUUUGCAGCUCCAAAGGAGACCAAGAAGGAACCAAAGGAAAAACUCAAAUCUGUACCUGUUAAACCAGACUCUGGACCCAAAAAGGCUGUAAGGAGGAUUAAAGUAGUCAAGAUGGAGGUUGCUUCUGUCCUGAAGAAGGAACAUCUUAAUGUUACUAAAGCAGGUGAGAUUAUACAGUAUGAAGAAGAACAGGUCAAAGCGACUUUAUAUCCUUGUGGUUAGUAUUUAUAGAAUUUCACAGUGACACAUCUUACAUGUCAAAUGUGAAGCUACGAUGAGCUAAUUUAUUAUAUUUCUGAAUAUUCUCCAACAAUAGAGCUUCCUAGGUUCUUAAGGUGAAAGCCAAACCACAACCUGCAAAGAAAGGUAAGAGCAUGCUUUUAUACUUUUGUGUUAAAUAUCAACUAAAAGUUGACUCAAUCUGAUGAGUCUUUUUCCAAUUUAUAAUGAUACUAUUCAUGAAAGAAAAUAUACUUAGACUUUAUGCAUAUAUUUUGUUUGCUGACACUAACUUGUCAGAUUUAUUAAAAGAAAGCUUCACAUAAUAAACACUGAUCUUUUUAUAAACCUAAAACUUAAUGGCUUUUUGAUCUCAUAAUUUUCCACCAGUUGCAGCUCCAAAGGAGACCAAGAAGGAACCAAAGGAAAAAAUCCAACCUACACCUGUUAAACCAGGUAAUGCAAAGCCAUCAAUAGAGCCAUACAAUGAGUAUGGCUAAAAGAAAUACUGUGACCGUUUAUUUUUUAUGACUAUUAUAAUAUCUGUAAGCAUUAGCUGUACGAAUAAAUUAUAUUUCUGAAUAUUCUCCAACAAUAGAGCUUCCUGAGGUUCUUAAGGUGAAAGCCAAACCAGAACCUGCAAAG
Molecule: long non-coding RNA, 4475 nt
Filed under: Cottoperca gobio
Lineage: Eukaryota; Metazoa; Chordata; Actinopteri; Perciformes; Bovichtidae
Description: lncRNA (ENSCGOG00000024646.1)
Source: RNAcentral